Molecule: non-coding RNA, 504 nt
Organism: Rhinolophus ferrumequinum (greater horseshoe bat)
Lineage: Eukaryota; Metazoa; Chordata; Mammalia; Chiroptera; Rhinolophidae
Source: the annotation of a RefSeq genome assembly
AUGACUAUCAUCAUUGCAGGGGAGAUCGUCCAGAAUACAGCUCAGCUCGCUCACUGCCUAGGCAUGUUCUCAGCGACCCUUCUGCUGCUUGGAGUGCUCUUCACAGUGAGAGGAACCAGAGCCCAGUCAGUGAGCCAGCCUGAUGGUCACAUCACUGUCUCUGAAGGAACCUCUCUGGAGCUGAGGUGCAACUAUACCUCUAUCUAUGGUGCAUCUGUUUCUCUCUUUUGGUACGUCCAAUACCCUAGUCAAAACCUCCAGCUUCUUCUUAAGUCGGUAGGAGGGAAUACCCUGGUUAAUGGCAUCAAAGAUUUCAAGGCUGAAUUUAAGAAAAGUGAAAGCACCUUCCACCUGAGGAAAUCAUCAGCCCAUUGGAGCGACUCGGGUGUGUACUUCUGUGCUGUGAGUGACACAGUGCCUGAGACUGCAGGGGGAGCUGAACGCAAACCUCCUGAGACACUGGAGUUUUCAGACACUCAAGGACACAGCCUGACCUGUUUUUAG